This 476-nucleotide ribosomal RNA is filed under the name uncultured bacterium. Its description in RNAcentral is "partial 16S ribosomal RNA". It matches the Rfam family "Bacterial small subunit ribosomal RNA", at positions 28 to 523 of the family's 1533-position model. The record is from RNAcentral.
GACGAACGCUGGCGGCGUGCUUAACACAUGCAGGUCGAACGAUGAAGCCUUCGGGUGGAUUAGUGGCGAACGGGUGAGUAACACGUGGGUGAUCUGCCCUGCACUUUGGGAUAAGCCUGGGAAACUGGGUCUAAUACCGAAUAUGAUCAUGCUCUUCAUGGGGUGUGGUGGAAAGCUUUUGCGGUGUGGGAUGGGCCCGCGGCCUAUCAGCUUGUUGGUGGGGUAAUGGCCUACCAAGGCGACGACGGGUAGCCGGCCUGAGAGGGUGACCGGGCACACUGGGACUGAGAGAGGGCGCAGACUCCUACUGGAGGCAGCAGUGGGGAAGAUUGCACAAUGGGCGCAAGCCUGAUGCAGCGACGCCGCGUGAGGGAUGACGGCCUUCGGGUUGUAAACCUCUUUCAGCAGGGACGAAGCGCAAGUGACGGUACCUGCAGAAGAAGGACCGGCCAACUACGUGCCAGCCGCCGCAGUAA